This 322-nucleotide ribosomal RNA is filed under the name uncultured eukaryote. RNAcentral's name for it is "partial 18S ribosomal RNA". It matches the Rfam family "Eukaryotic small subunit ribosomal RNA", at positions 1470 to 1796 of the family's 1831-position model. The record is from RNAcentral.
CCCUUAGAUGUUCUGGGCCGCACGCGUGCUACACUGAGUGGAUCAGCGGGUCAGGUUGCGCGAAAGUGUUUCCUAAUCUUGAAAUCCGCUCGUGAUGGGGAUUGACGGUUGCAAUUUUCCGUCAUGAACGAGGAAUACCUUGUAAGCGCGGGUCAUCAUCCCGCGCUGAAUACGUCCCUGCCCUUUGUACACACCGCCCGUCGCUCCUACCGAUUGAGUGGUCCGGUGAGGCUUUGGGAUCUGAGCGGAAAGAGCGUUUCGCUGUUUCUGCUCGGAAAACUCAGUCGAACCUUAUCAUUUACAGGAAGGAGAAGUCGUAACA